GAAGUAAAAAGUCGUAACAAGGUUUCCGUAGGUGAACCUGCGGAAGGAUCAUUAUUGAAUUUUAAUGAAGGGAAUUUGGUUGUAGCUGGCUCAUAUUAUCUGGGCAUGUGCACACCUUUCUCUUUCAUCCACACACACCUGUGCACCUGUGAGGCAGAUGGGGGAGGAAAUUCACUGAUUGUUCUUGAAGAAUAAUGGGUGUUGGGAAAACCCCCCUCUGUCUACUCAAUCUAUAUAAACCCAAUAUUUUUAAAAAUGAAUGUAAUGGAUGUAACACAUCUAAUACUAAGUUUCAACAACGGAUCUCUUGGCUCUCGCAUCGAUGAAGAACGCAGCGAAAUGCGAUAAGUAAUGUGAAUUGCAGAAUUCAGUGAAUCAUCGAAUCUUUGAACGCACCUUGCGCUCCUUGGUAUUCCUUGGAGCAUGCCUGUUUGAGUAUCAUGAAAUCUUCAAAGUAAAUCUUUUUGUUAACUCAAUUGGGUUUUGCUUUGGUUAUUGGAGGUCUUUGCAGCUUCACACCUGCUCCUCUUUGUGUAUUAGCUGGAUCUCAGUGUUAUGCUUGGUUCCACUCGGCGUGAUAAGUUAUCUAUCGCUGAGGACACUGUCAAAGGUGGCCAAGGGAAAUGCAGAUGAACCGCUUCCAAUAGUCCAUUGACUUGGACAGUAAUUUUUAUGAUUUGAUCUCAAAUCAGGUAGGACUACCCGCUGAACUUAAGCAUAUCAAUAA
This 727-nucleotide ribosomal RNA is filed under the name Rhizoctonia solani AG-11. Its description in RNAcentral is "eukaryotic LSU rRNA". The stretch from base 288 to 441 matches the Rfam family "5.8S ribosomal RNA". The record is from RNAcentral. Lineage: Eukaryota; Fungi; Basidiomycota; Agaricomycetes; Cantharellales; Ceratobasidiaceae.